CCUGUUUCCGCUGGCAGCUGCCCGAGCCUAGAGCCGCGUCCCGCGGUGCCAUCCCAGCUCCCCCAGGACCCGGCCCAGCUUCCCCCCCGGGACCCGUUGUGGGAUAAACAGAUGUGCUGCUGCCCUGUUAAACCAGCCUUGCAAACUAUUUCCAGUCAACAGUAGCUGUGGUGAAAGAAUUUAAGAAGUGCAACAUGGCAAGAGGCUGCCUGUGUUGUUUGAAAUACAUGAUGUUCCUUUUCAAUUUAAUGUUUUGG
This is a non-coding RNA of Chelonoidis abingdonii (Abingdon island giant tortoise), 257 nucleotides long. Lineage: Eukaryota; Metazoa; Chordata; Testudines; Testudinidae. The record is from RefSeq and is a predicted model, not a curated record.